Molecule: long non-coding RNA, 919 nt
Filed under: Vulpes vulpes (red fox)
Lineage: Eukaryota; Metazoa; Chordata; Mammalia; Carnivora; Canidae
Description: lncRNA (ENSVVUG00000007364.1)
Source: RNAcentral
CCCAUGCUCGUGCUCCCUCUCUGUCAGAUAAAUAAAAUCUUAAAAAAAAAAUGUAAGAUGUGGAGGUGGAAUUUAAAAUACUAGGUUUUGAGAGAUUCUUAACAUGACCCUAAGGUAUGUAGCAAGGUGGAUAGAGUGAUGAUGUUCUGUGUUGCUUAAACAGUCAUGCUGUUUUGCAUGUGAAAGGCAUUAUGAUAUCAGCUAGCUAAUUCUACCUUCAACCACCUGGUUUGAGCCAGAUGUGAAAAGAGACAUGGAUAAUGAAGGAAAUAGAACUUUGUUUUUAGAGUGUCCUGAGAUAGUUACAUGUAAAAGAAGGGAUAAGAAGAAAUUACUGUUCGUGUGGAUAUUCAUGAUGUCAUUGAACUCUACUAGAGUCUAAAUUGCCUUCCUCUGGGACAGAAAAUGGGACCACCCCUUCAGUAAUGUGAAGAUACCGCUGUAAAGACAUACAGUCUGUUUAAGGCCCCAGAAGACAAAAAUCUUCCUGUGAAGAAGUACUUCAUGGAUAGGUGGCCCAUGAACAAGCCACCUGCUAUGGAUAUAUUACAUGGCCCUACCCUCCGGCUGGACAGAAAACAUAAACUAUCAGGUAACCGCACUGACACUGAGACCACUGUUGAAGAAACUCCAGAGGACCCUCUGCAGAAAGCCAAACAAAGACGGACUUCCAAAGGUAAGCUUUGGCUUUGGCUGUGUGCUCAGUGNUCCCCGCCCUCGCCUCUGGGUCUCCCGCCUGGCCGGUUCCAACGGAAAACUUUUAGCAGGUGGAGCAACACAUUCAGCAAAAGGCAGCACCUGCGAGUGCUGGAGACAAGGGAGCAAGUGGGGCGCUUGGCACCAGCGGCGCUUGAAAUCUGUUGAGCUUCAUGAAGCCCUGGAGAUCUCUGAGGUAGAAGUAUAUUUCUUUGGAAGAUAA